AUGGUGUUGAUCGAGAUUGAAGAAGAUGGAGAAAAUAAGUUCAAUCAAGGUGGAGAUCAGUAGGUUUGAUGGAAAGAGCGAUUUCUUCUUUUGACAGUUGAGGGUGAAGGAUAUGCUCAUCAAGCAAGGGUUGAUCGAUGCUCUCUUGUACGAAAAGUUAUCGAUUAUUAUAGAGGUGAUAGUUUGAAAGUGGUUCCAGAUACAGAUGGUGAGUAUGAUCUGCUUGUACC
Molecule: long non-coding RNA, 230 nt
Filed under: Elaeis guineensis (African oil palm)
Lineage: Eukaryota; Viridiplantae; Streptophyta; Magnoliopsida; Arecales; Arecaceae
Description: long non-coding RNA (EGUI_LNC037896)
Source: RNAcentral